UGAGGUGUCUGUUUCCAAGUUCAGGGGUCCCAGAGAGGAACUGGCCGCUCCUUGCUGGGGAUUGCAGUCCCAUGGGAGCCCUGCUGAGCCUGGGCAGGAGCAGCUGCCUGCAGGACUGAGCUCAGGGGAGGAACUCCCUGGGACUUCCCCCUGCUCCCCUGGCCCUGCUGGCCCAGUGUAAGCACUCAGGGCACAGUUUGGGGCUGCAGCUCCUUAAGGCAGUGCUUGAUGCUCUGCUCUGUCCCUCCUGGGCAGGGGGCAGUGCCUGCACAGCACCGAGAUGAGCAUGGAGCUGUGCCAGGCACCUGGGCUGGGCCCCCCAUACCUCUAACAGGUGCUCAGCCACCUGCAAGGUAGGAGAAGGUAAAGCCCAAUGACUUUCUGCAGGCUCAGCGGCCUCCAGAGGUACCGUCCUACCUGCAGAUGCAGUCCUGCUGCUGGCAGUCUGAUUUUCAGAGUGGCAGAGGGCUCAGCAGCUCAACUCACACCCUGAGUGCUUUGGGGAAAGGACAGAUCUGUCUCGAGUAGCCAAGGCAGGACCAGCCUUGGAAUGUCAGGAGAAAUGUGUGACUUUGGGCAGAGCCCUGCUGGGCAGCCACCCUCAGGCUGGAUGCUGCUCUGGAGCUGGUGAUCACCACACGUGGCCAGAACUUCAGUGACCCCUCUCUUACUACUGCAGAUAUAUCUCAGUAUAUGGAGAAGAGCAGGUACUGGGAUGAGGCAAAUUUCUCCAGCAGCAGCACUGUCCAUGGCUUAUCUCCCACCAUGAUGAUGACUGCUCAUGGAAA
This is a long non-coding RNA of Melospiza melodia melodia, 788 nucleotides long. RefSeq lists it as uncharacterized. The transcript is spliced from 3 exons. The record is from RefSeq and is a predicted model, not a curated record. Lineage: Eukaryota; Metazoa; Chordata; Aves; Passeriformes; Passerellidae.